Molecule: long non-coding RNA, 564 nt
Organism: Mya arenaria
Lineage: Eukaryota; Metazoa; Mollusca; Bivalvia; Myida; Myidae
Exons: 3
Source: RefSeq, a predicted model, not a curated record
CCUAAUGUACAAUGGAAAUCCCCGAUAUCUCCCAAGUAUGACUAACACAGCACCUUGCCUUUAUUUUCAAAAAAAUCGACUUGAGUGAUGAGCACGUUUUGAUUUCUCUGACUCGUCUGCAGGAUACAAGAGGAUAAAAAAUAAUUUAUAUGAACAGGAACAAAGAAGACAUAUUUCGAGACCGAGGCGAUCUCUAGGAAUACCAGAUUCUGUGAAACGGCACUUGCCAUUUUUCUGAAAUACUAUUAGCACCAUUAGCAAGAUAAUGAAGAGGGUGGAAGAUGGGACCUCUAAUGCUAUUAAUGCUAUGCUGGCUGUCUAUGGAGCCGACGGAUGCAAUACGAUUUCCUCACAUCAGAACAGGGACAAAACAAGUGUACCACGUCAACAUCAAAAUUGAAAGUGUACCCUUAGCUAUGCCACUCAUGAACGAAUAGCUUUUGGUGCCUACUUGAUGAAAUAGUUAACGAUAUUACACUAAAAGAAACAAUAAUCAUCAAGUUUUUUUCUAUGUCUUCAUGAAAAACAUGUUUGAUUUUUGUAUUCGACAAAUAAACAAGUCAU